CUGGGGCAUCAUUUCAGUGAGGCAGCCUCUGCCUAAAUUAUUUCCACUUACACGGAUCUCACAUGGAAAAAAAAACCAAUGAAUGUAAAGGUUUUCUCUAAGUGCUAGAAAGAAAUGUCUCAGUCAGGGACCUGGUCAAACUCUAGGUUGAAAUUUAAUGUGCUUCAGCCAUCAGCUGCUUGUCUUGCUUUGAGCCCCAGGUGGAAAUCAAACGAGUAUGGAAAUGUCAAACCAACAUAUACUCAGGUGGGAUCUGAACUCCUUGACAGAACUAAGGGCUUCCACAAACUAACCAGCUGUAAGAAAUGUGUCAGUGGGAACAAGGGAGAGAGAAGCAGAGCUGACCAGAAAGAAAAAGUGAUGUCAUGUGGGUUCGAGUGGAUGUGAACCGCUCAGUCUCAAAAGUGACAAAUGAGGCUAAAGAAAUUUGUUAUUUCCUGUGAAGCUGCUUUGGAUUUCACCAGCAGUCAUUAAUUCCCUCUAUGUUGAGGAGGGAAAGUUUUGGGUUUCAGGUAUAGACAGAUGAUUCAGGGAGGAAGGACCUUGUGUGAGAGGCAUGAGUGAUAGCUGAAAUCCUGGGAGCCAGAGUCAUCUGUUUGCAGAAAGCUUCCCCAAAGUGCACAAAGCCAGAUUUCUGCCUUCAUAAAUAUUGUUCUUUCAGGACACGUUUACUAAAUCACGUCUAGUUCACAAUCAUUUGCCAGCCCCAUUUAACUUCAUUAGCUCAGGUCCAGUUCAUACUGUUUAAAACACAGCGUUUCUUGGGAACGGCACAUACAGAAUUAUGUGAACUGUUCGGAAUAGCUUCACCCUGAGCACUUAGCAUGGCUCAUUCUUUGCUACAAUGCUACUAAUCCAGGCACUUACCAGCGAGUCACUCAGUUUCUCCCAGAUCAAGAGCCUCCCUGUAACUUGCAUUGUAUGGUGCAGAAGUGUAGGUGUUACAGAAACAGACUGGAUUCAUCCUGAAAGGCAACACAUGAGGAGGUGGCUGUCUGCCCAUCCAAACUGUCACCAUGCCGAGAGGACAUGGACACAAUCAGUGCCAUUACCCACUGAUGGGACCCGUCCCAGCAGGAAUAUCUAUGCCUAUAAACAGGGAAAGGUGCUUGUAUACACUGCCUUGAAGUACCAGGUGAGACUCAGGCAAGUUUUUCAGACGAUACACCAAAAUUUUCUUGAUAUUGUUUUGUAAGGAAAUUUGCUAUCAAAAAAUGGCAGUCCCAUUUCCAUCUCCACAAACUGGAGGGAUCUGGUGUGAGGAUGUGGCUGCUUGCUUGUGAGGCCUGGCCAGGCUGCUAGCAGGGGGCUGCCUGCAAUCACAAGAACAAAAGUGUCUCGUUGCCUCUGUGGUACGGUCAAAUGCUAUAUUCUCAGUCUUAUCAUGUAGGAGUGCAUUAGAAACCUUAACAGCAAAGUUCACCUGCAUUUCUGAAAGUCCCAUCUGUUGUGCUCUUCCCCGGAGGACCCAAAUUGGUGUUUUAUGUGCCUUGGUGCUGAUAGCCAAUGAAUACUGUG
This 1518-nucleotide long non-coding RNA is filed under the name Coturnix japonica (Japanese quail). RNAcentral's name for it is "lncRNA (ENSCJPG00005015821.1)". The record is from RNAcentral. Lineage: Eukaryota; Metazoa; Chordata; Aves; Galliformes; Phasianidae.